GACGAACGCUGGCGGCGUGCUUAACACAUGCAAGUCGAGCGGUAAGGCCCUUUCGGGGGUACACGAGCGGCGAACGGGUGAGUAACACGUGGGUGACCUGCCCUCAGCUCUGGGAGUAAGCCUGGGAAACCGGGUCUAAUACCGGAUAUGACUCCAUGACGCAUGGUUGUAGGGGUGGAAAGCCUUGUGCGGCUGAGGAUGGGCCCGCGGCCUAUCAGCUUGUUGGUGGGGUGAUGGCCUACCAAGGCGACGACGGGUAGCCGGCCUGAGAGGGCGACCGGCCACACUGGGACUGAGACACGGCCCAGACUCCUACGGGAGGCGAGCAGUGGGGAAUCUUGCGCAAUGGGCGAAAGCCUGACGCAGGCGAACGCCGCGUGAGGGAUGACGGCCUGGUUGGUAACU
This 405-nucleotide ribosomal RNA is filed under the name uncultured bacterium. RNAcentral describes it as "bacterial SSU rRNA". It matches the Rfam family "Bacterial small subunit ribosomal RNA", at positions 28 to 431 of the family's 1533-position model. The record is from RNAcentral.